GAUGAACGCUGGCGGCGUGCCUAAUACAUGCCAGUCGAGCGAACAGACGAGGAGCUUGCUCCUCUGACGUUAGCGGCGGACGGGUGAGUAACACGUGGAUAACCUACCUAUAAGACUGGGAUAACUUCGGGAAACCGGAGCUAAUACCGGAUAAUAUAUUGAACCGCAUGGUUCAAUAGUGAAAGACGGUUUUGCUGUCACUUAUAGAUGGAUCCGCGCCGCAUUAGCUAGUUGGUAAGGUAACGGCUUACAAAGGCAACGAUGCGUAGCCGACCUGAGAGGGUGAUCGGCCACACUGGAACGGAGACACGGUCCAGACUCCUACGGGAGGCAGCAGUAGGGAAUCUUCCGCAAUGGGCGAAAGCCUGACGGAGCAACGCCGCGUGAGUGAUGAAGGUCUUCGGAUCGUAAAACUCUGUUAUUAGGGAAAAACAAAUGUGUAAGUAACUAUGCACGUCUUGACGGUACCUAAUCAGAAAGCCACGGCUAACUACGUG
RNAcentral lists this ribosomal RNA (497 nucleotides) under uncultured bacterium. RNAcentral's name for it is "partial 16S ribosomal RNA". It matches the Rfam family "Bacterial small subunit ribosomal RNA", at positions 28 to 507 of the family's 1533-position model. The record is from RNAcentral.